Molecule: long non-coding RNA, 695 nt
Organism: Panicum virgatum (switchgrass)
Lineage: Eukaryota; Viridiplantae; Streptophyta; Magnoliopsida; Poales; Poaceae
Exons: 2
Source: RefSeq, a predicted model, not a curated record
UUCUCUUCCUUCUUACUUUUAUUUAUCCAUGAUAUCUACUAACAAUGUUAGCUGUUCUUGAUUACUUUUUGUUCUGAGAAAUUUUCAUAUUAGUAUGUGCUAUUGUGUAUAAGUUCAGUUUAGUAUACCAUAUAAUCUGAACAUAUAAUGACUGGUUUUGUCUUAUUUAAAUUUGAGAAGCACGAAUGUUAAGAAGUUAGAUAAUUGUCUACUCGAAUAUUACAAUCUUCGAAUGACAAAUCAGCAUGACCGACAGACUUUCAUUUUUGUCGUUUGUAUUCUAUAACCAUGCAACUUCUUAGAGCACUAAGAUAGAGAUGAAAACAGGUAAACAUCAUCUACACCUGUCUGCGUACCCUAGAAAGUGAAACCAAUUGAUCACUCAUUGGAGUUAAAUUUCGAUGAACUGCAGAUCAGGAACAACGCAAGCAUCCCAGGGGCUUCACAGUCAGAAUAAUCUGCGCCAAAAAACAUGAUAAGCGAUAGCACCUCUAUCAGGAGUAGGACAACCAUUCCAAAGACUUUACAUUCAGCACUGCAUGUGCCGGAAGAUAUAAUAGGUAGUACUAAGAUAUAGCUAGCUGUGUAUUGCACGCAAAAGAUAAUUGUACUAUUACAUAUGCCUACUAAUGUAUAGACAUAUCACGCUAAUGCUACAUUUAUAUAUAUAUUAAUGUCAUCCUACCUUAAUCUAA